This 71-nucleotide ribosomal RNA is filed under the name Clostridium botulinum. Its description in RNAcentral is "partial 16S ribosomal RNA". The stretch from base 1 to 62 matches the Rfam family "Bacterial small subunit ribosomal RNA", at positions 1472 to 1533 of the family's 1533-position model. Lineage: Bacteria; Bacillati; Bacillota; Clostridia; Eubacteriales; Clostridiaceae. The record is from RNAcentral.
UGAUUGAGGUGAAGUCGUAACAAGGUAGCCGUAGGAGAACCUGCGGCUGGAUCACCUCCUUUCUAAGGAGA